AUGUAUGGGGUUAUGGUUCAGCACAUAUCAGGGAAUAACAUAGCAUCAAAAAAUGAGGAAAAGAUAGAGACGGAGAUGCUUCAGAUAUUUACGUGUCGGAGACACUCGGGCGGUUCUUCACCUGCGAUGAAGCUCAAGAAAUCCGAAGGUGCGCAACUCGAACAAGGCCUAAGCGGGCUGCAAGUCGCAUUUUCGAAGCCGUCUUAUUAA
Molecule: non-coding RNA, 210 nt
Organism: Vicia faba (fava bean)
Lineage: Eukaryota; Viridiplantae; Streptophyta; Magnoliopsida; Fabales; Fabaceae
Source: the annotation of a GenBank genome assembly